Molecule: long non-coding RNA, 336 nt
Organism: Zonotrichia leucophrys gambelii
Lineage: Eukaryota; Metazoa; Chordata; Aves; Passeriformes; Passerellidae
Exons: 3
Source: RefSeq, a predicted model, not a curated record
CAGGCUGCUCACUUAAAAAUACUUAUUUAAAAUAAAGAAUUUUCCCCACUGGUUCAUCAGGAGAGAGAACUUCAAACUUACAUUGGUACUUGAAGAAACUACAAGACAGAGAGGAAGAAGUGGGACUUCAGAGGUGUUUGAAAUCCUGCUCAGAAGUACUGGAAUUCAGUCUUCCAAAUAACUCCAGGGUAUCAUCUGCCUAACACUUCCCAAGUUAAACCUACUUCUACAUCAACACCUUACCUGAAAUUAGGUGGAAUAUACAGCAACAGAGGAGCAGUAUUAAAAAUUAGCUGAUUCUUAACCAGAUUGUAGUUUGAAACAGAUGAAAAGGAA